AAUUAAAGCUGAGAAAGAGCUCGGAAGAGCGUGGGAAUCCGUGCGGGGUUCUUCCUGUGACGGCGCAAGUGUGCUGCAGGACUCUUCCCGGAAUGCACGUAUGGCUUGCAAGCGAGCUUAGUGCUUGAGACUUUCCAGCUCCUGAGCACCACUAAUCUCCUCCAAAGAAGAUGGGUGCAUAAGAAACUCCACCUACGACUUGCUUUAAAUGUGACAAAUCUGGACACUGGGCUAUACACUUGCCUUUAGCCCGAAUGCUGGCAGCAUGCUGUCCAAACUGUGGACAGGAUAUUGAUCCAUCAAAAAUAAAUGAGGAAAUAAAACCCUACCUACUCUGUGUAGAUUCACUCAAGAAUGGUGGUUUUAUAAUCUAUGCAGUGACUCCUGAGCUGAAGCAGUGCAUCUGCUUUCAGAUAAUGAUGUAAAACUUCACCUCUAUAGGAAACUUGACUGGCUUUCAAAACAUCUUUAGGAAUCAGAGUAAGUGUUAAUCAUUACCUCCCACAACUAAGCCUGAGGCUAAACUCUCUAAAAAUUCUUGUCCAUUAUUUUUAACAAUGUAUUUACCUGUAGUAAUUGUAAGUUUUAUAUAUUUAUAAUGAGCUCUAAGAUUAAAACACAGCUUAACACAUCUAUAUUUUGAAAUUAAAAAUGAUUCAUCAGGCUUUAUAUCUUUUUAAAUGUUUUUCUUUUCACAUAGACAUGUUUCCACAAUCUUUGAUAGAAUCAUAGUUGUAGUUAAAUUCUUAUUGUUUGUGUUUCAAAAAUCCACUGUAUUAUUUGGCUAUUGUAACAUUACUGGACAUCAUUGAUUCAAUAAAGACAAAAACAUGUUAAAUUUA
Molecule: long non-coding RNA, 842 nt
Filed under: Mus musculus (house mouse)
Lineage: Eukaryota; Metazoa; Chordata; Mammalia; Rodentia; Muridae
Description: predicted gene, 18280 (Gm18280)
Source: RNAcentral